AAAAAAGGGUCUGACGACUGCCCAAACCACAACCGUGAACCAUUUUUCUUAUUGAUGCUCUGGCAGGGCCCGCCCGCUGGGGGGGCUUCAGGCCGCGGUUUCGCGGUGGUCUGCCGGUGGCUCGCAAACCAAAACUCUUUUUGAACGUCUCUCUGAGAAUAUCUAACUCCUCUUAGCGGGAGAAAAAAAAAAAGUCA
This 197-nucleotide unclassified non-coding RNA is filed under the name soil metagenome. Its description in RNAcentral is "partial internal transcribed spacer 1". The record is from RNAcentral.